This 503-nucleotide ribosomal RNA is filed under the name uncultured bacterium. RNAcentral's name for it is "partial 16S ribosomal RNA". It matches the Rfam family "Bacterial small subunit ribosomal RNA", at positions 30 to 523 of the family's 1533-position model. The record is from RNAcentral.
AUUGAACGCUGGCGGCAGGCUUAACACAUGCAAGUCGAGCGGGGUGAUGGUGCUUGCACUAUCACUUAGCGGCGGACGGGUGAGUAAUGCUUAGGAAUCUGCCUAUUAGUGGGGGACAACAUAUCGAAAGGGAUGCUAAUACCGCAUACGUCCUACGGGAGAAAGCAGGGGAUCACUUGUGACCUUGCGCUAAUAGAUGAGCCUAAGUCGGAUUAGCUAGUUGGUGGGGUAAAGGCCUACCAAGGCGACGAUCUGUAGCGGGUCUGAGAGGAUGAUCCGCCACACUGGGACUGAGACACGGCCCAGACUCCUACGGGAGGCAGCAGUGGGGAAUAUUGGACAAUGGGGGGAACCCUGAUCCAGCCAUGCCGCGUGUGUGAAGAAGGCCUUAUGGUUGUAAAGCACUUUAAGCGAGGAGGAGGCACGUUUGGUUAAUACCCAAGAUGAGUGGACGUUACUCGCAGAAUAAGCACCGGCUAACUCUGUGCCAGCCGCCGCCGUAA